This is an RNA transcript of Chionomys nivalis (European snow vole), 4182 nucleotides long. It is a transcript of the gene named ATP synthase mitochondrial F1 complex assembly factor 2, with no coding region annotated. Lineage: Eukaryota; Metazoa; Chordata; Mammalia; Rodentia; Cricetidae. The record is from RefSeq and is a predicted model, not a curated record. The transcript has 9 exons.
CGCCCUGUAGGUGUCAUGAGGAAGAUGGCGGCGUGCAGAGGAAGCUGAGGGCUUUGAGCUCGUGGUGAGAGGUUUCCGUACAGUUGCAGCGAAGGGUUUGGGGACCCCUUCUCCCUAUUCUUGUUCGCUGUCUUGACGUAUGCGUUCACCCAGGCCCCUGGGCAUGAUGUGGCGGAUCUACCCCCGGCUGAGGGACCGGGGACGUGGUCUCUUGAGCCGGUCUUCUAGUGACCCCACCGCCUCAGUGUGGCCAAGGCCAACUCCGCGGCCUCCGGCCAGGGCCUACGUACCACCAACAGAAAGGAAGAGGUUUUAUCAGAACGUCAGCAUCUCACAGGGUGAAGGUGGCUUUGAGAUCAACCUGGACCACAGAAAGCUGAAAACUCCCCAAGCCAAGCUAUUUACCGUCCCCAGUGAGGCUCUGGCCAUUGCUGUGGCCACUGAAUGGGACUCCCAGCAGGAUACCAUCAAGUUCUACACCAUGCACCUGACCACAUUGUGCAACACAUCCUUGGACAACCCAACCCAGCGAAACAAGGAUCAAUUGAUCCGGGCAACUGUAAAGUUCCUGGACACUGAUACCAUCUGCUACAGGGUGGAAGAGCCGGAGACAUUAGUGGAACUUCAAAAGAGCGAAUGGGACCCAGUCAUAGAAUGGGCUGAGGAAAGGUACGGCAUGGAGAUCGGCUCCUCCACCAGCAUAAUGGGACCCAGCAUUCCUACCCAGACCCGAGAGGCGCUCACCAGCCACUUGUCCUCUUACAACAUGUGGGCCCUACAAGGGAUUGAGUUUAUAGUGGCCCAGCUCAAGUCCAUGUUGCUGACCUUGGGCCUGAUUGACAGGCACCUGACUGUGGAGCAGGCUGUGCUUCUGUCACGCCUGGAGGAGGAGUACCAGAUCCAGAAGUGGGGCAACAUUGAGUGGGCCCACGACUACGAACUCCAGGAGCUGCGGGCUCGCACAGCUGCUGGUACCCUUUUUGUCCACCUCUGCUCAGAAAGCUCUACGGUCAAACACAAGCUCCUACAGGAGUGAGGCCUACAGGAGUUACAAACGCUGGCUGAAAGGAACUGCACAGACGCAGAUUCUCUGAUCUGGGCUUCCUGAUGUUGGACCUCUGAACCCAGUGAAGCUCUGUUGGCCUGUACCUUUGGGGCAAUCUCAGUGUAUACCUGUGGGGUACCCACUGUGUGCCUGGGUCUUCCUUGGCCUUUGUGGCUUGGCCUUAUCCAGAAGCACUCUGUGAUGCCCUGGAGACACAAUACGCUUGUCUUGAGGUCACACAGCUUCCCAACCAGGAGCCAUUGGCCUGGCCUAUAGUGAGGGAGGCAUAGAGACUUUUUUUGACCCUUAUUUUAUUAAGUAUUUUUUCAGCCUGGAAAUAUAUCAAGCCUCAUCUUCAUCUGAGACUCCACAUUCUUGUUUUAUCUAAGCUUUGUCACCAUUUUUAUAUCUGCUACCAAUGGCUGGGGACCUCAUGGCAGGCGGGUUGAGGGGGCAGGAAACAAGCACAUCGCCACACAACCCUUUUUCAUCUGCAGCCUCAGCCUGAAGGACUUUGUCCCCCUGGCUUUUCAUCAGAUGAUCUUUUAAAAAGAGCUCUGAAUAAUACAGCAAGCUUCCUGUUAAGGUAAUGCUUUAAGUAAAAACUGCCAAGUCAGAACCUGCACACCUCUAAAAGACAUUAAAGCUCGAGGUAUAGCUCUCAGGAGACCUGGCCGAGCAGCACGGACACCAAAGGUUAAGACUGUCUCCCCCUCCCACCUCCCAGAGUAAGUUGUACACAUUCCUUUCCUACGAGAAAGUGUACUGGGCAUGGAGAUAAUUUGCCCUGGCCUUGAGUAGCCAGGGGUGGCUAAGGGGCGGGAGAAGCCACGGGUGUGCUUGCUAAAAUUGACUGGACAGCUGAAUUAAGAGGCUGGUAUUAUAGAGGAGCAUGGCCCCGCUCCCACCUGGCCCUCUGAGCUCACUAGUAUGGGGAGAUGUGUUGAGGCGAUAUGAGGCUUAGGAGAAUAUCUGGAUGACAGAGGGCUACCUAACCCAGUACCUCUCACCACACCGCUUUAUAACCUUGCUCCUUUGAGGAAAUUGCGUAAACAGCAGAACCCUUUCAUGCUCUUUUGGACCAUUAAAAUGUUUUAGUGUCUGUGGCUGCUGAAUCCCUGGUCAGGUUGGCACUUGUUUGGAACAGAUGCUGGUGGGCCUUCAGAGAACCUGCCCACUCUAUAAAAGGGAUCCAUCACGUAAUGUUAAUUUCCGAAUGAUUUUCAGACUUAGAAAUGUAUCUGAAGGACAUGCACACGUACUCAGAGGAACAAGGAUGGGAAGUCAACCCAUACAAGGGCCAGGGGUCCGGCAACAGCUGUGAACAUCUUUGAGACUUUUGUGGUUAGGUAAGACACAGGUGCCACCUGACAAGGUGAUUGAGACAUUCUUGCAACAGCCUGUGUCUACAGAAAACAGGAAUGUCGGGGCUGGAGAAAUGGCUCAGAGGUUAAGAGCAUGUCCUGCUCUUCUAAAGGUCCUGAGUUCAAUUCCCAGCAACCACAUGGUGGCUCACAACCAUCUGUAAUGAGGUCUGGUGCCCUCUUCUGGCCUGCAGUCAUAAACACAGACAGAAUAUUGUAUACAUAAUAAAUAAAUAAAUAUUUAAAAAAAAAAAAACACAGGAAUGUCACCAGGCAUGGUACAUGCCUUUAAUCCCAGCACUUGGGAGACAGAGGCAAGCAGAUCUCUGAAGCUAGCCUGGUCUACAGAGUGAGUUCUAGGGCAGCCAGAGAUACUACAAAGUGACAUGUCUCAAAAAAAAAAAAAGAAAAGGAAAAACAACAAACCAUGAGUGUCAACUCAGAAAGCACCUGCAUGAGUAGGAAAAGGCACACCCAGAAGACAUAAUAAGGUUGUGAAUGAAAGUUUCAGUGCCAGGGUGGGCUUCCUCCCUGAGUUGCUGGUGGGGAGGUUCCUUAGGUACAACACAGUUCUGACUGCUGUUGGUUGCAGACCAGAGCAGAACUAGAAGCUCCCUCCAUACUGGCUGAGCUGGUAGGUUGGAGAGCACUGUGCAGGCUGCCGGGGAGAGUUCUUACCAAUGAUCCUGCUCAGCUGUGCACCUCACGUGUUACGCUCUCAGCAUGCUGUGCACAAUUCAGCCAUGCAAUAGUGGCAUGAUAUAUGGGUAUGAAAAAAACUAUGUCCCAAGAUCUGCAAAGGAGGUCAGGUUUUGGUGGAGAAGCUAUUGCUGUCUUGUUAAAUGAAUAUGCUUUACUGUCAGGUUGUGUGUGCCCCUCUACCUUGCUCUUGCUUUCUACCCAUCUGGCCUCACCCCACACACCCCUUUUUUUUUUUUUUUUUGGAGACAGCAUCUCUACCCUAGGCUUGUCUUAAACUCACUGUGUGGCUGAAUGUGGCCUGGGAUUACAAGUGUGUGCCCCAGUCUGAUUUUCAGAUUGGAUUCUAGUAUCUGUGCUUCUGUGGUUGGCCUUCAUUAACAAUGCUUUUAGUAUUAAAGAGUGGUGAUUGUUGAUCAGACUACUGGGAACAAGUGCACAGCCCUGAGUGGAAGAAAAUGACCGUCCAUCUCUAGCAGUCAUGCUCACCAGGGUACAGGGAGCACUGCAGAAGAGGCAAUGGAAAGAAUGCCAGAGCCAGGGGAAAGAGUAUGUGAAAAUUUGUCCGUUUGGUGUGGCAUGGCCAUUGCCAUCUGGAAAUCAGAGCAGCUGUAAUUACCUGCAUGAGGCCAUCACAAGAUUGGCCCGAUAAUACUCCCUCAUGGGAGGAGAGAGCCCGUAAGGCUUGUGUCCUCCCUAGGGAUAUGUAAGUAUCUACCAUUUCUAGAGGGAGGGCAAGACUGCCUGCAAAUUGCCUGUGUUCCUGUAAGUCAUCCUAAUUAAGCCCAUUGGUUAUUAUGCUGGACUUGGAUGGAAUUGUUUCUUUGGUCUGUUGUUCUUACCUGAGGUAAGCAGAAAUGACCUCCCCAUGAGAAGUCGCUACUAUCCCUAAAAGCUCAUGUGUCAAAGAUCAGUGCCCCUUGGGUCUUGUGAUUAGGUGGCAGAACCUAAUGGGAGGUCUUUAGGUCAGUGAGGUUGUGCUAUCAAAGGGGGUUCUUGAGACCCCGUCCUUCCUCUUCUUCUCUCUUUGGCCAUGAGGUAGGAGGUUUCAUACUGUGUGCCUGCCAUGAUGAU